GAUUAUUUAGUUUAAAUAAAACAAGUGUUUUGAAAACACUUAAUAAGAAAUACCUUCUUAAUAAUCU
Molecule: transfer RNA, 67 nt
Filed under: Metopograpsus quadridentatus
Lineage: Eukaryota; Metazoa; Arthropoda; Malacostraca; Decapoda; Grapsidae
Description: tRNA-Ser
Source: RNAcentral